Molecule: long non-coding RNA, 552 nt
Organism: Arabidopsis thaliana (thale cress)
Lineage: Eukaryota; Viridiplantae; Streptophyta; Magnoliopsida; Brassicales; Brassicaceae
Product: other RNA
Exons: 2
Source: RefSeq
AGUCGUCUUCUUCCUCAGCUCCACACUCACUACUGCUACAGCUUUACCAACACGCAAUGCCUUUGAUUCUAUCUCUAUCUCUUCCUGUGUUUUUUUUUAUAUAUAUGUCAAUCAAUUUUGCAAAGAAAGACAUCUAAUAAAUUUAAGAAAGAAGGAAAGGAAGUUACAUCGAGAAAAGCAGCAUCAAGGUAUGAAACAUUGAUCUCCACUGAAACUCCGGAAUGUGAAGCUCCGGCUGUGUAGAUCACUGCUGAUCCUAUCAAAUCCACCAGCGUCGCCGUUGCUCCUCCGUGAGAUGAGGAGGGAUUUUCAUGGAGCAGACGAUACGGCCAGGUUCGAUGAGAUCCACUUUAAGACCAUUGGUUACGAAUCGUUCGAGGAAUCUGUGUGGUAAUUUCGCCACCAUUGGUUCCUUGGCCUUUUCGUCUUCAUCUCCUUCCAGAUACUUUUUCACCGAUUCUAGAUCCAUUCUCUUCUUCUUUCCCUUUUCUUUUUCCGUAUCAACACCUUUUGAGGGUUUUUUUUUUAAAUCGAAAAUUUUUUGAUAUGAAU